UGCAAUAAUUACCAUUAAAAACACAGUGGUUGUUUAGAAAUAGAUGUGGCUACAUUGAUACAGGUUAAGCUUCCACCACAGCAUCUAUUGCAUUGGUAACAAUGAGGCCUGCAACAUGU
RNAcentral lists this small nucleolar RNA (119 nucleotides) under Erinaceus europaeus (western European hedgehog). Its description in RNAcentral is "Small nucleolar RNA SNORA1 (ENSEEUG00000022193.1)". Lineage: Eukaryota; Metazoa; Chordata; Mammalia; Eulipotyphla; Erinaceidae. The record is from RNAcentral.